CUUGAUCAAUUAUAAGAGGUCAAGCCUGCCCAGUGACAUUGUUCAACGGCCGCGGUAUCCUAACCGUGCGAAGGUAGCGUAAUCACUUGUCCUUUAAAUAAGGACUAGUAUGAACGGCUUCACGAAGGCUAUACUGUCUCCUUAAUCUAAUCAAUUAAACUAAUCUCCCCGUGAAGAAGCGGGAAUUCGUCUAUAAGACGAGAAGACCCUAUGGAGCUUUAAACAUCUAAGACACUUGAUUAUAUCUACUAAACUUCAUGCAACCUAUCAUUUUGUCUUAAGUUUUAGGUUGGGGUGACCACGGAGAAAAAUUAAACCUCCACGUAGAAAGAAAAUUCUUUUCUAAGCAAAAAGCCACAUCUUAACGCAUCAAUAUAUUGACUUAAAUUGACCCAAUUUCUUGCUCAACGAAC
RNAcentral lists this ribosomal RNA (413 nucleotides) under Allobates femoralis group sp. ABGD cluster 9. Its description in RNAcentral is "partial large subunit ribosomal RNA". It matches the Rfam family "Bacterial large subunit ribosomal RNA", at positions 1834 to 2457 of the family's 2925-position model. The record is from RNAcentral. Lineage: Eukaryota; Metazoa; Chordata; Amphibia; Anura; Aromobatidae.